UGAUCCUGCCAGUAGUCAUAUGCUUGUCUCAAAGAUUAAGCCAUGCAUGUCUAAGUAUAAGCUUUUAUACGGUGAAACUGCGAAUGGCUCAUUAAAACAGUUAUCGUCUCCUUGACAAUCAUCCAGUUUUGGAUACCUAUGGUAAUUCUAGAGCUAAUACAUACGUACAGACCCAACUUCGCGGAAGGGUUGUGCUUAUUAGAUACAGAACCAGCCCAGGCUUGCCUGGUCUCGAGUUGACUCAUAGUACCCAGCGGAUCGCAUGACUUGUUCGGCGACGUGUCAUCCGAGUUUCUGACCUAUCAGCUUCCGACGGUAGUGUAUUGGCCUA
Molecule: ribosomal RNA, 331 nt
Filed under: uncultured eukaryote
Lineage: Eukaryota
Description: SSU rRNA
Rfam family: Eukaryotic small subunit ribosomal RNA
Source: RNAcentral